RNAcentral lists this ribosomal RNA (434 nucleotides) under uncultured Ruminococcus sp. RNAcentral describes it as "partial 16S ribosomal RNA". It matches the Rfam family "Bacterial small subunit ribosomal RNA", at positions 341 to 792 of the family's 1533-position model. The record is from RNAcentral. Lineage: Bacteria; Bacillati; Bacillota; Clostridia; Eubacteriales; Oscillospiraceae.
ACGGGAGGCAGCAGUGGGGAAUAUUGCACAAUGGGCGCAAGCCUGAUGCAGCGAUGCCGCGUGAGGGAAGAAGGUUUUCGGAUUGUAAACCUCUGUCAACAGGGACGAAAAUGACGGUACCUGUGAAGGAAGCUCCGGCUAACUACGUGCCAGCAGCCGCGGUAAUACGUAGGGAGCAAGCGUUAUCCGGAAUUACUGGGUGUAAAGGGAGUGUAGGCGGGACUGUAAGUCAGAUGUGAAAUAUGCCGGCUCAACUGGCAGACUGCAUUUGAAACUGCGGUUCUUGAGUGAAGUAGAGGUAAGCGGAAUUCCUAGUGUAGCGGUGAAAUGCGUAGAUAUUAGGAGGAACAUCAGUGGCGAAGGCGGCUUACUGGGCUUUAACUGACGCUGAGGCUCGAAAGCGUGGGGAGCAAACAGGAUUAGAUACCCUGGUA